AGUGGCGCACGGGUGAGUAACGCGUACACGACCUACCUUCAAGAGGGGGAUAGCCCUGGGAAACUGGGAAUAAUCCGCCAUGUGAUUAACUGUGUUAGAGAUGGUUAAUUAAAGUUCAGGCGCUUGGAGAUGGGUGUGCGUACCAUUAGCUAGUUGGUAAGGUAACGGCUUACCAAGGCGACGAUGGUUAGGGGGCGUGAGAGCGUGGACCCCCACACGGGUACUGAGACACGGACCCGACUCCUACGGGAGGCAGCAGUAAGGAAUAUUGGACAAUGCCCGCAAGGGUGAUCCAGCCAUCCCGCGUGCAGGAUGACGGCCCUAUGGGUUGUAAACUGCUUUUAGAUAGGAAGAAACCCCAGGAUUUAUUUUUGGUUGACGGUACUAUCAAGAAUAAGCACCGGCUAACUCCGUGCCAGCAGCCGCGGUAAUACGGAGGGUGCAAGCGU
This 449-nucleotide ribosomal RNA is filed under the name uncultured bacterium. RNAcentral describes it as "bacterial SSU rRNA". It matches the Rfam family "Bacterial small subunit ribosomal RNA", at positions 94 to 541 of the family's 1533-position model. The record is from RNAcentral.